This 496-nucleotide ribosomal RNA is filed under the name uncultured bacterium. RNAcentral's name for it is "partial 16S ribosomal RNA". It matches the Rfam family "Bacterial small subunit ribosomal RNA", at positions 30 to 523 of the family's 1533-position model. The record is from RNAcentral.
AUUGAACGCUGGCGGAAUGCUUUACACAUGCAAGUCGAACGGUAGAGGGGGCAACCCCUCGAGAGUGGCGAACGGGUGAGUAAUAUAUCGGAACGUGCCCAGUCGUGGGGGAUAACGUAGCGAAAGUUACGCUAAUACCGCAUACGAUCUAAGGAUGAAAGCGGGGGAUCGCAAGACCUCGCGCGAUUGGAGCGGCCGAUAUCAGAUUAGGUAGUUGGUGGGGGAAAGGCCCACCAAGCCAACGAUCUGUAGCUGGUCUGAGAGGACGACCAGCCACACGGGAACUGAGACACGGUCCAGACUCCUACGGGAGGCAGCAGUGGGGAAUUUUGGACAAUGGGCGAAAGCCUGAUCCAGCCAUUCCGCGUGCAGGAUGAAGGCCCUCGGGUUGUAAACUGCUUUUGUACAGAACGAAAAGGUUUCUACUAAUACUAGGAGCUCAUGACGGUACUGUAAGAAUAAGCACCGGCUAACUACGUGCCAGCAGCCGCCGUAA